RNAcentral lists this ribosomal RNA (468 nucleotides) under uncultured bacterium. RNAcentral describes it as "partial 16S ribosomal RNA". It matches the Rfam family "Bacterial small subunit ribosomal RNA", at positions 28 to 507 of the family's 1533-position model. The record is from RNAcentral.
GACGAACGCUGGCGGCGUGCUUAACACAUGCAAGUCGAACGGAAAGGCCCUGCGUUUGUGGCGUGCUCGAUUGGCGAACGCGUGAGUAACACGUGAGUAACCUGCCCUUGACUUUGGGAUAACUUCAGGGAACUGGGGCUCAUACCCGAUAUGAGCUCCUGCUGCAUGGUGGUGGUUGGAAAGUUUCGGCGGUGGGGGAUGGACUCGCUGCUUAUCAGCUGGUUGGUGGGGUAGGGGCUGACCAAGGCUGUGACGGGUAGCCGGCAUGGGAGGGUGGACGGCCACAUUGGGACUGAGAUACGGCCCAGACUCCUACGGGAGGCAGCAGUCGGGAAUAUUGCGCAAUGGCCGGAAGCCUGAUGCAGCAACGCCGCGUGCGGGAUGACGGCCUUCGGGUUGUAAACAGCUUUCGCCUGUGACGAAGCGUGAGUGACGGUAAUGGGUAAAGAAGCACCGGCUAACUACGUG